RNAcentral lists this ribosomal RNA (424 nucleotides) under uncultured bacterium. RNAcentral describes it as "partial 16S ribosomal RNA". It matches the Rfam family "Bacterial small subunit ribosomal RNA", at positions 360 to 775 of the family's 1533-position model. The record is from RNAcentral.
AAUAUUGGACAAUGGGCGAAAGCCUGAUCCAGCCAUGCCGCGUGUGUGAAGAAGGNCUNNGGAUUNUNAAGCACUUUAAGCGANNNNNAGGAGCUCUUGGUUAAUACCCAAGAUGCUUGGACGUUACUCGCAGAAUAAGCACCGGCUAACUCUGUGCCAGCAGCCGCGGUAAUACAGAGGGUGCAAGCGUUAAUCGGAUUUACUGGGCGUAAAGCGCGCGUAGGUGGCCAAUUAAGUCAAAUGUGAAAUCCCCGAGCUUAACUUGGGAAUUGCAUUCGAUACUGGUUGGCUAGAGUAUGGGAGAGGAUGGUAGAAUUCCAGGUGUAGCGGUGAAAUGCGUAGAGAUCUGGAGGAAUACCGAUGGCGAAGGCAGCCAUCUGGCCUAAUACUGACACUGAGGUGCGAAAGCAUGGGGAGCAAACAG